Achroia grisella is the source of this 229-nucleotide long non-coding RNA. RefSeq lists it as uncharacterized. The record is from RefSeq and is a predicted model, not a curated record. Lineage: Eukaryota; Metazoa; Arthropoda; Insecta; Lepidoptera; Pyralidae. The transcript is spliced from 3 exons.
CGAGCGCGCACGCGCACCGCGCGCCCCGCCUCCACCGCGCGCGGCGCGCUGCAGCACUGGGAGAAGGCGUGUACACUGGCUCAGAAGUAUUCUCUGGACGUGUCGCCGGUGGAGGAGUCGUUGAUGGAGAUGUUACACCCGGAAGGAAAUAUCGAUACACAAUGGGUGGAGAGCGUGGCGGCGCUGGCGCGGGAGACGGCCGACUCGCUGGCGGAGGCGGCGGGCGGGC